This 484-nucleotide ribosomal RNA is filed under the name uncultured bacterium. RNAcentral describes it as "partial 16S ribosomal RNA". It matches the Rfam family "Bacterial small subunit ribosomal RNA", at positions 30 to 507 of the family's 1533-position model. The record is from RNAcentral.
AUUGAACGCUGGCGGCAGGCCUAACACAUGCAAGUCGAGCGGAUGAAGGGAGCUUGCUCCUGGAUUCAGCGGCGGACGGGUGAGUAAUGCCUAGGAAUCUGCCUGGUAGUGGGGGAUAACGUCCGGAAACGGGCGCUAAUACCGCAUACGUCCUGAGGGAGAAAGUGGGGGAUCUUCGGACCUCACGCUAUCAGAUGAGCCUAGGUCGGAUUAGCUAGUUGGUGGGGUAAAGGCCUACCAAGGCGACGAUCCGUAACUGGUCUGAGAGGAUGAUCAGUCACACUGGAACUGGGACACGGUCCAGACUCCUACGGGAGGCAGCAGUGGGGAAUAUUGGACAAUGGGCGAAAGCCUGAUCCAGCCAUGCCGCGUGUGUGAAGAAGGUCCUCGGAUUGUAAAGCACUUUAAGUUGGGAGGAAGGGCAGUAAGUUAAUACCUUGCUGUUUUGACGUUACCAACAGAAUAAGCACCGGCUAACUUCGUG